RNAcentral lists this transfer RNA (68 nucleotides) under Oncopsis nigrofasciata. RNAcentral's name for it is "tRNA-Met". Lineage: Eukaryota; Metazoa; Arthropoda; Insecta; Hemiptera; Cicadellidae. The record is from RNAcentral.
AAAAAGAUAAGCUAAAUAAAGCUUUUAGGCUCAUAACCUAAAUAUAGAAUUAACUAUUCUUCUUUUUA